Molecule: ribosomal RNA, 533 nt
Filed under: uncultured bacterium
Lineage: Bacteria
Description: partial 16S ribosomal RNA
Rfam family: Bacterial small subunit ribosomal RNA
Source: RNAcentral
ACUCAAAUGAAUAGACGGGGACUUGCACAAGCAGUGGAUUAUGUGGUUUAAUUCGACGGUAAACGAAGAACCUCACCCGGAUUUGAAACCUAGAUGAAUGUACCCGAAAGGGAUACAGCCUCACAAGGGCAUUUAGGCAGGUGAUGCAUGGCCGUCGUCAGUUCGUGGUUUGAAUUGUUCCCUUAAGUGGGGUAACGAACGCAACCCUCGUUGCCAGUUAUAUUUGUCUGGCGAGACUGCUCCCGCAUCUGGGUAGAAGUCAUUCUUUUUUAGAAUGACUUGUAAGUAGAUGCGGGAGAGGAAGGUGAGGAUGACGCCAGGUCAGCAUGUCCCUCUGAUAUCCGGGGCUACACACAUAAUACAAUCGCUGGGACAACGCGACGCGAAGAGGUAACUCAGAGCAAAUCGUAAUAAACCCAGCGCCAGUUCGGAUUGAGGUCUGCAACUCGACCUCAUGAAGCCGGAAUUGCUAGUAAUCGCGGGUCAGCUAUACCGCGGUGAAUACGUUCUCAAGUCUUGUACACACCGCCCGU